UAUGAAGCCGCCAGGGUUUGGAAAUGAAGCUUUCUGAAUAAUGAUUUUAGAACUUAGUGUUAUUAGCUGUUAAUAUCUAUCGAAAUAAGCAGGGAGGUUUUUUGUCACCCAUUAUUUUUUUUGCAUGCGAAUCGUGUGAAAGAGGAGGACCUGCCGUUUUUGUUUCAUAUUUUGUUUACAAGACAUUUUGUCUGAUAUCGACCAUAGCCACGCCUACUUGUAAUGACUAAUGAAAUCCAACUUUAUGAAAAUCUAGCACACAUAAAAUUUGCUUUUAUUUAUAAAUUUUUUUCAUUAAUUUAUGCGUAAGUAAAAAAAAAAUACUAACAGUUAAUAAAAAAUAUGUACUGCGGUGAGAGGUUUGUUUUGUAAUACUUUUCUAAAGAUGAAUUGAUUGAAGUCUAAUGGAUUAAAUUUACACAGUCUGAUCAAUGAUUUACUGUUAAUUCAAUCACAAAUUGUUUUAAACGAUGAAAUUUCACAAAUUAAGUUCGCAUUUAAUAAAAUAAUAUAGUCCAAGUUUCAGAAGCGGGAAUUCUUUCUGUUCAUUCAACUUGCGAUUACAAAAUAUGAAAGCUUGUAGCAAUUGAAUUCUCUAGUGCUAUUUUAGUAAUCUCAGCUACAAACUGUUGAACGUGAACAUAUGUUCCGCAAUUUAAUCAGUAUUUACUCAUUUAUCUUGAUGGUUAAUAUAAUUAAUUAAGAGAAUUAUGUGACAAAUUUUAGUUUUUCAUAUCCAAAUAAAAUUAUUCAGAGUUUAAUUUUCAGAUGAAAUAUUGAUUUAGUUGCUUGUGAAAAAAAUAUAGUUUUAUUAAUUACUUAUAUUUACAUUUGUGUUUUUUUUUAAUUCUGUCAUUUCUUUAGAUUUAAAAUUCAUAAUUUUGAAUGCUUUUGGUUUGAUUAUGUUGAAUUGAAAUCUGUCUAGUAGUUUUGGUUUGACAAAUAUAUACAAUUUCACAUUCAAGUAAUUCAAAUCUGUGUGAUUAUUAAUUUUUUAAACUAUUAUAUAUAAAAAUUCAUGAUGUUCCUACACUUUCAGAUAACAGCUCAAAAAUUAAAUGUUAUUAAAUAAAAAAUAUAAUAUGAAGUUUUAUUUAUGAUUGAUUAUUACUGCCUUAUUUCUGUUCUGAAAUGAAAUUUACUUUAUUUUUAUUAUUGCAUUGUUAGAUACCACAGUACAGAAAGAAUGGAUAUGUUAACUAUUUAUGUAUAUCUUGCCUAAGAAACUUCCCAACCACUGAUGAAAGCUGGGAUUGGAUUGGAUUUGUAGUAUUUAGAGGUGCAAGAUCCAAUUCUGGCCAUACUGCGCCAGACAUAUGGUUAUAGGAAACCCAGCUCCAACUUUAUGCAUUAUCUUAAUAUGAAUAAAAAAUUGAACUUUU
Long non-coding RNA from Argiope bruennichi, 1382 nucleotides. RefSeq lists it as uncharacterized. The record is from RefSeq and is a predicted model, not a curated record. NCBI's taxonomy places the organism in Eukaryota, Metazoa, Arthropoda, Arachnida, Araneae, Araneidae. The transcript is spliced from 3 exons.